AAAAGAAACCAACCGGGAUUGCCUUAGUAACGGCGAGUGAAGCGGCAAAAGCUCAAAUUUGAAAUCUGGUACCUUCGGUGCCCGAGUUGUAAUUUGGAGAGGGCAACUUUGGGGCCGUUCCUUGUCUAUGUUCCUUGGAACAGGACGUCAUAGAGGGUGAGAAUCCCGUGUGGCGAGGAGUGCGGUUCUUUGUAAAGUGCCUUCGAAGAGUCGAGUUGUUUGGGAAUGCAGCUCUAAGUGGGUGGUAAAUUCCAUCUAAAGCUAAAUAUUGGCGAGAGACCGAUAGCGAACAAGUACAGUGAUGGAAAGAUGAAAAGAACUUUGAAAAGAGAGUGAAAAAGUACGUGAAAUUGUUGAAAGGGAAGGGCAUUUGAUCAGACAUGGUGUUUUGUGCCCUCUGCUCCUUGUGGGUAGGGGAAUCUCGCAUUUCACUGGGCCAGCAUCAGUUUUGGUGGCAGGAUAAAUCCAUAGGAAUGUAGCUUGCCUCGGUAAGUAUUAUAGCCUGUGGGAAUACUGCCAGCUGGGACUGAGGACUGCGACGUAAGUCAAGGAUGCUGGCAAAAUGGUUAUAUGCCGCCC
RNAcentral lists this ribosomal RNA (579 nucleotides) under Saccharomyces cerevisiae (brewer's yeast). Its description in RNAcentral is "eukaryotic LSU rRNA". It matches the Rfam family "Eukaryotic large subunit ribosomal RNA", at positions 57 to 650 of the family's 3401-position model. The record is from RNAcentral. Lineage: Eukaryota; Fungi; Ascomycota; Saccharomycetes; Saccharomycetales; Saccharomycetaceae.